AAUCUUCCGCAAUGGGCGCAAGCCUGACGGAGCAACGCCGCGUGAGCGAAGAAGGUCUUCGGAUCGUAAAGCUCUGUCAAACAGGAAGAAGAGCCAUGAGAGGGAAUGCUCAUGGAGUGACGGUACUGUAAGAGGAAGCCCCGGCUAACUACGUGCCAGCAGCCGCGGUAAUACGUAGGGGGCGAGCGUUAUCCGGAAUUAUUGGGCGUAAAGGGUGCGUAGGCGGCCUUUUAAGUCAGGUGUGAAAGGCUACGGCUUAACCGUAGUUAGCAUUUGAAACUAAAAGGCUUGAGUGCAGGAGAGGAGAGUGGAAUUCCUAGUGUAGCGGUGAAAUGCGUAGAUAUUAGGAGGAACACCAGUGGCGAAGGCGACUCUCUGGACUGCAACUGACGCUGAGGCACGAAAGCGUGGGGAGCGAACAG
This 422-nucleotide ribosomal RNA is filed under the name uncultured bacterium. RNAcentral describes it as "partial 16S ribosomal RNA". It matches the Rfam family "Bacterial small subunit ribosomal RNA", at positions 360 to 775 of the family's 1533-position model. The record is from RNAcentral.